RNAcentral lists this ribosomal RNA (254 nucleotides) under uncultured bacterium. RNAcentral's name for it is "partial 16S ribosomal RNA". It matches the Rfam family "Bacterial small subunit ribosomal RNA", at positions 524 to 776 of the family's 1533-position model. The record is from RNAcentral.
UACGGGGGGAGCAAGCGUUGUUCGGAUUUACUGGGCGUAAAGGGCGCGUAGGCGGCCACCGCAGGUCAGUUGUGAAAUCUCUGGGCUUAACCCAGAAAGGUCAACUGAUACUGCGGGGCUAGAGUGCAGAAGGGGCAACUGGAAUUCUCGGUGUAGCGGUGAAAUGCGUAGAUAUCGAGAGGAACACCUGCGGCGAAGGCGGGUUGCUGGGCUGACACUGACGCUGAAGCGCGAAAGCUAGGGGAGCGAACGGG